This 252-nucleotide ribosomal RNA is filed under the name uncultured prokaryote. RNAcentral describes it as "partial 16S ribosomal RNA". It matches the Rfam family "Bacterial small subunit ribosomal RNA", at positions 524 to 775 of the family's 1533-position model. The record is from RNAcentral.
UACGGAGGAUGCGAGCGUUAUCCGGAUUUAUUGGGUUUAAAGGGUGCGUAGGCGGCCGAGUAAGUCAGCGGUGAAAUUUUUCAGCUUAACUGUAACAGUGCCGUUGAUACUGCAUGGCUAGGAUUUGGUUGCUGUGGGUGGAAUGUGUGGUGUAGCGGUGAAAUGCUUAGAUAUCACACAGAAUAUCAAUUGCGAAGGCAGCUCACAAAGCCAAGAUUGACGCUGAGGCACGAAAGUGUGGGGAGUCAAACA